Molecule: ribosomal RNA, 253 nt
Filed under: uncultured bacterium
Lineage: Bacteria
Description: partial 16S ribosomal RNA
Rfam family: Bacterial small subunit ribosomal RNA
Source: RNAcentral
UACGUAGGGUGCGAGCGUUGUCCGGAAUUACUGGGCGUAAAGAGCUCGUAGGUGGUUUGUCGCGUUGUUCGUGAAAACCUGAGGCUUAACCUUGGGCGUGCGGGCGAUACGGGCAGACUGGAGUACUGCAGGGGAGACUGGAAUUCCUGGUGUAGCGGUGGAAUGCGCAGAUAUCAGGAGGAACACCGGUGGCGAAGGCGGGUCUCUGGGCCACUACUGACGCUGAGAAGCGAAAGCGUGGGGAGCAAACAGG